UUGGCUGUGGGUCUGCCGCGGAGAUUGGAUGUUGCUUACCUGAAGCUCCGCCUUUUUCCUUUUCUCUUCUCGGCCCAUUGGUUGGCCAGAACGUCUGUUCUUGUCUGAAGAACUUUUAAGCAAAAAAAAAAAAAAAAAGCUUUUCCUUCGGCCCAGGCCCGAAUUACGAUUCGGGCUGCUCCGGAUGGUUUUGUAGAGUUGUAGCAUUUGGGGAGACCUUGGGGGGGAAAAAAUAAGGAAAAGGGAGAUUGAAGGCGCUUAUAUUAAAGAACAGAAGUGACACCUACUGGACUAAUGGAUAAACAAUUUAUAAACAGCCAUGGAAGGUUAUUUCAAUAUAUGAUUACCGCAGCAAGAUUAUUACAGGCACAGAAAUGGAAAGAUUCAACUCUACUCGCUGGUUGAAGUCGCAAGAUUUUUUGAAAGGAAUAAAUUCUUUGAUUAAAGAUAUUAUCUACGUUUA
Molecule: long non-coding RNA, 463 nt
Organism: Thamnophis sirtalis
Lineage: Eukaryota; Metazoa; Chordata; Lepidosauria; Squamata; Natricidae
Source: RefSeq, a predicted model, not a curated record